Molecule: unclassified non-coding RNA, 310 nt
Filed under: plant metagenome
Description: partial contains 5.8S ribosomal RNA, internal transcribed spacer 2, and large subunit ribosomal RNA
Rfam family: 5.8S ribosomal RNA (bases 1-105)
Source: RNAcentral
GAAAUGCGAUAAGUAGUGUGAAUUGCAGAAUUCAGUGAAUCAUCGAAUCUUUGAACGCACAUUGCGCCCCUUGGUAUUCCAUGGGGCAUGCCUGUUCGAGCGUCAUUUGUACCCUCAAGCUCUGCUUGGUGUUGGGUGUUUGUCCCCGUCUCCGCGCGUGGACUCGCCCCAAAGUGAUUGUCAGCCGGCGUACUGGUCCCGGAGCGCAGCACAUGUCGCGCAAACGAGUGCCUUGGUACGGCGGCGUCCAUAAGCCCCUCUCUCACGCUCUUGACCUCGGAUCAGGUAGGGAUACCCGCUGAACUUAAGC